This 245-nucleotide long non-coding RNA is filed under the name Vigna radiata. RNAcentral's name for it is "long non-coding RNA (VRAD_LNC000760)". The record is from RNAcentral. Lineage: Eukaryota; Viridiplantae; Streptophyta; Magnoliopsida; Fabales; Fabaceae.
GGUUCAAAUGGAAGAUAAUUCAUCAAAGAGUAAUGUAAUAGGAGUAAAAAUGAUUUUAAGCGGUGCAAAUGGUAGAAAAUCGUACCUCAAUAGCAAUGGUAAAGGAGAGAAUUCGCGAGGAAGACGAUGAACAGUGAAUGCACGUAACUGCUGCUUGGGUUCGCAGGUUGGUAAUAGCAGCAAUUUAGACAUCGGCUCCCUCCCCGCCCAGCCGACGUCUAAAUCACGGCCCCCUCCCUAGCCAC